Molecule: transfer RNA, 73 nt
Filed under: Felis catus (domestic cat)
Lineage: Eukaryota; Metazoa; Chordata; Mammalia; Carnivora; Felidae
Also listed under: 2 other names
Rfam family: tRNA
About the family: Transfer RNA (tRNA) molecules are approximately 80 nucleotides in length. Their secondary structure includes four short double-helical elements and three loops (D, anti-codon, and T loops).
Source: Rfam by way of RNAcentral
GCCUGGCUGGCUCAGCAGGUGGAGCCUGCGACUCUUGACCUCCGGGUUGUGGGUUCGAGCCCCAUGUCGGGUG